UAAGACGAAGUAUAUAUAUUAGGAGGGGAGUGUAGUGACAAAUCAAGAGAAAGAGGAGAGAGAGAAGUAUACCCCUUUCCUUUACUGACUACUACUUCUCGCUCUCCCUGCAGCAGCAGCAACCACUGUUAAUUAGUGUGAAAAUAUGACUCCUAGACCAACCCAAAAUACCGUGAAUGGUACCACUCACCACCCUCAUUAUUACCCGCCUCCUUAUUCAUCAUCUUCAUCUAAAGCAUCAUUCAAAGGUUGUUGUUGUUGUCUAUUCCUUCUUUUUUCUUUCUUACUUCUACUUAUCCUGGCUGUCAUACUAGUUAUCGUACUCGCAUUGAAACCUAAAAAACCUCAAUUUGAUCUACAGCAAGUGGGUGUUCAGUACGUUGGUAUAACACCCAACUCUGCCAACGUUGCUGCCGCAGUAUCCUCUGAUUCAUCUGCUUCUGUUUCACUCAAUAUACGUAUGGUAUUCACUGCUGGUAAUGAUAACAAGGUGGGAAUCAAGUACGAUGAGUCCAGGUUUACUGUAAUGUACCGGGGGAUUCCUCUUGGUCGGGGCGUUGUUCCCGGGUUUUACCAACCCGCGCACAGUGUUCGCCGGGUCGAAACCACUAUUGUAGUGGAUCGGGUCAACUUGCUCCAGGCGGAUGCCACUGAUUUGAUCCAUGAUGCGGCGUUGAAUGAUCGGGUCGAGCUUCGGGUUUUGGGAGAUGUCGGAGCUAAGAUUCGGAUCCUUGGGUUAACUUCACCUGGUGUGCAGUGACUAUGAAGGGGAGCCUUGGCGUAACCGGUAAAGUUGUUGCCAUGUGAUUAGAAGGUCACGGGUUCGAGCCGUGGAAACAGUCUCUUGCAGAAAUGCAAGGUAUCCGUGGAUUGCACAAUAGGGAUCAGCCCAACGAAACAGUCUGUCACAUACAAGCAGUGUGGAUUCGAUGGCCUUAGGGUAUGACACAAAUAAUAACUGAUCCUUUUGUCUGCUUCAACUUUUCCGAAGUUGCUUCUCAUCUCUCUAAUUCCACAAGGGGAAAAGAUAGAUGUAAAAGUUGUAGUGGGUAAACAAGUCCACACAUUGGAAAAAAGUAAUAAAAAGAGAGAGCGCACAUGCAUCUGGUAGGGACCGUAAGAUUAUUUUUAGUUGUGAAAAUGAGAGGUUGAGCCAGUAAUUGUAGCUAAAGGGUAUCCCUGUUAUUAAAAUAGAUUCUUUUUUCUCCUUUUUUUCGUGUGGGGGCGCGGGCGUGGCGGUCAGUUUCUCGUUGUAAAGAUUUGGACUAAUAGGUAUUCCACGACUCAUUGUGAUUGGCUGACAUUUAAUUUAUUAUUAUUCAUCAAUAUUAGUGGUGUAUCACUGUAUCUUUCAGAA
RNA transcript from Lycium barbarum (goji berry), 1357 nucleotides. It is a transcript of the gene named NDR1/HIN1-like protein 13, with no coding region annotated. The record is from RefSeq and is a predicted model, not a curated record. Lineage: Eukaryota; Viridiplantae; Streptophyta; Magnoliopsida; Solanales; Solanaceae. The transcript has 4 exons.